GAGUUUGAUCCUGGCUCAGGACGAACGCUGGCGGCGUGCUUAACACAUGCAAGUCGAACGGAAAGGCCCCGCUCGCGGGGUACUCGAGUGGCGAACGGGUGAGUAACACGUGGGUGAUCUGCCCUGCACUUCGGGAUAAGCCUGGGAAACUGGGUCUAAUACCGGAUAUGACCUCCCUUUAGUGUGGGGGGUGGAAAGAUUUAUCGGUGCAGGAUGAGCCCGCGGCCUAUCAGCUUGUUGGUGGGGUAAUGGCCUACCAAGGCGUCGACGGGUAGCCGGCCUGAGAGGGUGGACGGCCACAUUGGGACUGAGAUACGGCCCAGACUCCUACGGGAGGCAGCAGUGGGGAAUAUUGCACAAUGGGCGGAAGCCUGAUGCAGCGACGCCGCGUGGGGGAUGACGGCCUUCGGGUUGUAAACCUCUUUCGACAGGGACGAAGUGAAAAUGACGGUACCUGUAUAAGAAGCACCGGCUAACUACGUGCCAGCAGCCGCGGUAAUACGUAGGGUGCGAGCGUUGUCCGGAAUUACUGGGCGUAAAGAGCUCGUAGGUGGUUUGUCACGUCGUCUGUGAAAUUCCGGGGCUUAACCUCGGGCGUGCAGGCGAUACGGGCAAUACUUGAGUGCUGUAGGGGAGACUGGAAUUCCUGGUGUAGCGGUGAAAUGCGCAGAUAUCAGGAGGAACACCAAUGGCGAAGGCAGGUCUCUGGGCAGUUACUGACGCUGAGGAGCGAAAGCAUGGGUAGCGAACAGGAUUAGAUACCUGGUAGUCCAUGCCGUAAACGGUGGGCGCUAGGUGUAGGGGACUUCCACGUUCUCUGUGCCGUAGCUAACGCAUUAAGCGCCCCGCCUGGGGAGUACGGCCGCAAGGCUAAAACUCAAAGGAAUUGACGGGGGCCCGCACAAGCGGCGGAGCAUGUGGAUUAAUUCGAUGCAACGCGAAGAACCUUACCUGGGCUUGACAUACACCGGACCGGCGUAGAGAUACGUCUUCCCUUGUGGCCGGUGUACAGGUGGUGCAUGGUUGUCGUCAGCUCGUGUCGUGAGAUGUUGGGUUAAGUCCCGCAACGAGCGCAACCCUUGUCUUAUGUUGCCAGCACGUGAUGGUGGGGACUCAUGAGAGACUGCCGGGGUCAACUCGGAGGAAGGUGGGGAUGACGUCAAAUCAUCAUGCCCCUUAUGUCCAGGGCUUCACACAUGCUACAAUGGUCGGUACAGCAGGUCGCGAACUCGUGAGAGUAAGCCAAUCCUUCAAAGCCGGCCUCAGUUCGGAUUGGGGUCUGCAACUCGACCCCAUGAAGUCGGAGUCGCUAGUAAUCGCAGAUCAGCAACGCUGCGGUGAAUACGUUCNCCGGGCCCUUGUACACACCGCCCGUC
This 1376-nucleotide ribosomal RNA is filed under the name uncultured bacterium. RNAcentral describes it as "bacterial SSU rRNA". It matches the Rfam family "Bacterial small subunit ribosomal RNA". The record is from RNAcentral.